Molecule: ribosomal RNA, 253 nt
Filed under: uncultured bacterium
Lineage: Bacteria
Description: partial 16S ribosomal RNA
Rfam family: Bacterial small subunit ribosomal RNA
Source: RNAcentral
UACGGAGGGUGCAAGCGUUAUCCGGAUUUAUUGGGUUUAAAGGGUCCGCAGGCGGACUUGUAAGUCAGAGGUGAAAGCCGGCAGCUUAACUGUCGAACUGCCUUUGAUACUGCAAGUCUUGAGUAAAAUUGAAGUGGCUGGAAUGUGUAGUGUAGCGGUGAAAUGCAUAGAUAUUACACAGAACACCGAUAGCGAAGGCAGGUCACUAAAUUUUAACUGACGCUGAGGGACGAAAGCGUGGGGAGCGAACAGG